GCUAAGGUAGCAUAGUCACUUGUUAUUUAAUUGGUAACUGGAAUGAAAGGUUAAACUAACUUAUUAAGUUUGUGGGCCUAAAUAGUAGUUUAAAGUUAAGGUAAGAAUUCUUUAAUUUUCUAGGGGACGAUAAGACCCUAGAAGCUUAACGAGCGUAGUGGUUUGUUUUAGAAGUUUGUUUGUUUUACUGGGGCGGUAGGAGUAAUUGAGCUAUUUAGUAUUUAAAGGAUCCUUUAAAUAAAGAAAGAAUGGAGAAGUUACUCUAGGGGUAA
Molecule: ribosomal RNA, 272 nt
Filed under: Gammarus cf. balcanicus GcfBAL5
Lineage: Eukaryota; Metazoa; Arthropoda; Malacostraca; Amphipoda; Gammaridae
Description: partial 16S ribosomal RNA
Source: RNAcentral